GCCCAGAUAGCUCAGUCGGUAGAGCAGCGGACUGAAAAUCCGCGUGUCGUUGGUUCAAUUCCGACUCUGGGCACCA
This 76-nucleotide transfer RNA is filed under the name Clostridiaceae bacterium. RNAcentral's name for it is "tRNA-Phe". It matches the Rfam family "tRNA". Rfam says of the family: Transfer RNA (tRNA) molecules are approximately 80 nucleotides in length. Lineage: Bacteria; Bacillati; Bacillota; Clostridia; Eubacteriales; Clostridiaceae. The record is from RNAcentral.